AGAGUUUGAUCCUGGCUCAGGAUGAACGCUAGCUACAGGCUUAACACAUGCAAGUCGAGGGGCAGCGGGAAGGAAGCUUGCUUCUUGCCGGCGACCGGCGCACGGGUGAGUAACGCGUAUCCAACCUGCCCGCGGCUCAGGGAUAGCCUCGUGAAAACGAGAUUAAUACCUGAUGGUCUUGUUGGUUGACAUCAAUUGACAAGUAAAGAUUUAUCGGCAGCGGAUGGGGAUGCGUUCCAUUAGGUUGUUGGCGGGGUAACGGCCCACCAAGCCGACGAUGGAUAGGGGUUCUGAGAGGAAGGUCCCCCACAUUGGAACUGAGACACGGUCCAAACUCCUACGGGAGGCAGCAGUGAGGAAUAUUGGUCAAUGGGCGAGAGCCUGAACCAGCCAAGUAGCGUGAGGGAAUGACUGCCCUAUGGGUUGUAAACCUCUUUUAUACGGGAAUAAAAUGCGCCACGUGUGGUGUUUUGCAUGUACCGUAAGAAUAAGCAUCGGCUAAUUCCGUGCCAGCAGCUGC
This 520-nucleotide ribosomal RNA is filed under the name uncultured bacterium. Its description in RNAcentral is "bacterial SSU rRNA". It matches the Rfam family "Bacterial small subunit ribosomal RNA", at positions 8 to 518 of the family's 1533-position model. The record is from RNAcentral.